CCUACGGGAGGCAGCAGUAGGGAAUUUUCGGCAAUGGGGGGAACCCUGACCGAGCAACGCCGCGUGAACGAAGAAGUUAUUCGUAAUGUAAAGUUCUUUUAACAGGGAAGAAAGAGAAAUUUGACGGUACCUGAAGAAUAAGCUCCGGCAAACUACGUGCCAGCAGCCGCGGUAAUACGUAGGGAGCGAGCGUUAUCCGGAAUUAUUGGGCGAAAGGGGUGGGUAGAUGGCAUAGUAAGUAUUUUGUAAAAAUGCUGGGCUAAACGCAGUAGGGCAAAAGAUACUGCAAAGCUAGAGUAUGACAGAGGCGAGUGGAACUAGAGGUGUAGCGGUAAAAUGCGUAAAUAUAUGUAAGAACACCAGUGGCGAAGGCGGCUUGCUGGGUCGAUACUGACAUUGAGGCACGAAAGCGUGGGGAGCAAACAGGAUUAGAUACCCUUGUAGUC
Molecule: ribosomal RNA, 446 nt
Filed under: uncultured bacterium
Lineage: Bacteria
Description: partial 16S ribosomal RNA
Rfam family: Bacterial small subunit ribosomal RNA
Source: RNAcentral